This 253-nucleotide ribosomal RNA is filed under the name uncultured bacterium. RNAcentral describes it as "partial 16S ribosomal RNA". It matches the Rfam family "Bacterial small subunit ribosomal RNA", at positions 524 to 776 of the family's 1533-position model. The record is from RNAcentral.
GACGAACCGUGCGAACGUUGUUCGGAAUCACUGGGCUUAAAGGGUGCGUAGGUGGGCAGGUAAGUCAGUGGUGAAAUCUCUGGGCUUAACCCAGAAACUGCCGUUGAUACUAUCUGUCUUGAAUAUAGUGGAGGUGAGCGGAAUAUGUCAUGUAGCGGUGAAAUGCUUAGAUAUGACAUAGAACACCCAUUGCGAAGGCAGCUCGCUACACUAUUAUUGACACUGAGGCACGAAAGCGUGGGGAUCAAACAGG